This is a non-coding RNA of Macaca mulatta (Rhesus monkey), 1980 nucleotides long. The record is from RefSeq and is a predicted model, not a curated record. Lineage: Eukaryota; Metazoa; Chordata; Mammalia; Primates; Cercopithecidae.
CUGAUUUUGUUCACAUGUUCUGAAUAUUUGUUAAUUCAUUAACUCCAGAUAUGUGGACAGCUUGGCUUGAUUUGAAUAACACUUUGAAAUUUAAUGCACAGCCCCCUUCUCAGUGUGAUAAAAUUUUGGCUCCAGAAAUGACUGUAGUUCUUGAAAGUCUCCCAUCACAUAUAUCUUCUCACAAAAGUGUAAGAAACAUAUCUCUUUCUUUAACUCCUGGCUCAGAUUCAGGUUGUAAAGAUACGUGGUUUUCCAAACACCUGCGUGAAUGUUAGCAAGAUCCAGAUCUGCUUGAGGGACCUCUGUGUUUUUCUCUGAAUGUUUUCUCCACCAAGCACUGAUCCAAGAUCUGCUUCAAAUAGCAUAUAUUCUUUCCUGAAAGAUCUUUUCUUAUCCCUUUCAGGAAUGAUUAGGAGAAGCAUGUGCGGUAAGCCUGACUGCAAGGCUGUUAAUGCUGAAAAGAAAGGUAUUGGUUAGCCCAGAGUACUGAAGACGAGAGAAAAGGCUAAGUGAUUUUGAAACGAUUUUUAGGAGUGGAGCAGUGUAACUUAAGCUGCACUGGAAUGCUGAGGGAUAAGGUUCCUUCAGACUUUCUCAUGAAGGAGAUAAAACACCAAAAGAACUGGAAUUGGGGCUCCAAACAUUUAGAAAAGACCCUAGUCCUUUCACUUGUAAUGGUGUGAUAUCUAAAUUGUUCAUGAAUACUCUUGGGCAUGCUUGAUGAUCUAUGAAUAUGUAACAUCAAUUUGGAUUUAACUCUUGUUCAACUGGGUUCUUCUAAAGAUCAUGAGAAACUAACUGUCCUUUUCUCAGGACUUGAUGCUGUUAGUCGGCUAAUCGUCAGUAGGAACUGCAACUCUCAAUUUCUUCUCCAGUGAUAGUGACAAAUUUGUCACACAUGGUUUUCUCUCUCUUGUUUCUCCCACUUAUCACCAAUGGCUUGUGUUUGCAAAAGACAGCUAUGCACUUUGAAGUUAGACCUUACAAAGUGUGCGACCUUCAGCCUUCAACAAGAUGACUUAACUUCCCCAAGUUUCAGCUUCCUCCUCUGUAACCUAAGAGUCAUCCUAGUGUCUACCUUAGAGAUUUCUUCUGAAUGUUAUACAAGAAGAUGCAAUGUAAAGGAUUUAGCCCAGUUCUGGCAUGCAGUAAUUUAACACAAAUAACAGUAACUAAUAUUUAUUAACUGCUUAUUAUUUGCCAGGCAAAGUUCUAAACACUUUCUACAUAUUAACUCACUUAAUAAUAUUGUUAAGUCCAUUUUUCAGAUGUGAAAGUGGAGCUACCUAUUUAUUGAAAGUUUAAAAAAUGAAUAAAUAAUGCUACUUUCUUACUUUCCCAAGCUGGAAUAGAAUUGAGAGCUAGACAUUGGAGUAAGCCAGAUGAAUCUCAAAAUAUUGCUUUUAUUAUUGAUGAAGGCAAUCAAAGGAAAUACCUCAGAUCUUUACCCUUGCUAAUAUUUUGUCCAAAAGACAACAUGUCCUCCUGCUUACAGACAUCACUGCACAAUUGCAGGUUUCCUCAGGAAGAGCAAGCAAAUUAUGAUGUGCCGAGAGCCCAAAAAGUGUCCUUUUUGCAGGAAGUCAGACCCGAAAACAGGAAAGAGAUGACUGAACUGAGCAUGCCCAGUUCUUUCUCCCAACUCCUCCAUCAGGUGUGAAGACCAGCCUGCUUUUGACCAGCAUGCGGAGCGUCUCUCUACGUAUGUCCUGCAGGUGAAAAUGGAUUCUCAGAAAGUUAAGACGCUUGCCAAAAUUACACAGGUAAUGAGUGGCAGAGUCAGGAUUUGAGCCCAGCUUUCCAUCCCAAGUGCUCCCUUGCGGCCAUUUAACCUGGACUCAGCCAAGACCAGGAUCCAUUGAGCUUGGCAAGAACUGUGCCAAGGCCAUCCUUAGGGGCAAAGCCAAACUGCAGCGGGGGAUGAUGAAGGGUAAAGUGUAGUCCCACCACAAUGAGGAAUAAAUGUUAUUUUGGAAUGAA